GACGUAGGAGGCGAGCGUUGUCCGGAUUCAUUGGGCGUAAAGAGCGCGCAGGCGGCUUGGUAAGUCGGAUGUGAAAACCCGAGGCUCAACCUCGGGCGUGCAUCCGAUACUGCUCGGCUAGAGGUAGGUAGGGGAGAUCGGAAUUCCUGGUGUAGCGGUGAAAUGCGCAGAUAUCAGGAGGAACACCGGUGGCGAAGGCGGAUCUCUGGGCCUUACCUGACGCUCAGGCGCGAAAGCGUGGGGAGCAAACAGG
Molecule: ribosomal RNA, 253 nt
Filed under: uncultured bacterium
Lineage: Bacteria
Description: partial 16S ribosomal RNA
Rfam family: Bacterial small subunit ribosomal RNA
Source: RNAcentral